UACGUAGGGUGCGAGCGUUAAUCGGAAUUACUGGGCGUAAAGGGUGCGCAGGCGGCUCCGCAUGUCGGGCGUGAAAUCCCCGGGCUUAACCUGGGAAUUGCGUCCGAAACUAUAGAGCUGGAGUGUGGCAGAGGGAGGUGGAAUUCCACGUGUAGCGGUGAAAUGCGUAGAGAUGUGGAGGAACACCGAUGGCGAAGGCAGCCUCCUGGGCCAACACUGACGCUCAUGCACGAAAGCGUGGGGAGCAAACAGG
RNAcentral lists this ribosomal RNA (253 nucleotides) under uncultured bacterium. RNAcentral's name for it is "partial 16S ribosomal RNA". It matches the Rfam family "Bacterial small subunit ribosomal RNA", at positions 524 to 776 of the family's 1533-position model. The record is from RNAcentral.